RNAcentral lists this ribosomal RNA (497 nucleotides) under uncultured bacterium. RNAcentral describes it as "partial 16S ribosomal RNA". It matches the Rfam family "Bacterial small subunit ribosomal RNA", at positions 28 to 507 of the family's 1533-position model. The record is from RNAcentral.
GAUGACCGCUGGCGGCGUGCCUAACACAUGCAAGUCGAGCGCAGCAAAGGGAAACGUUUGCCUUUGGGGUUGGCGGGGGACGGCUGGGUAAGAAGUAGAUCGAAUACCACUUUGACUGGGGGACCAACGGGGGAAAGGUACGCUUAUACCACAAUAUAACUAACGGUGAAAGGCAGUGGUCAUAGGAGGUUUUGCGGUCGAAUAUGCCUGGAUCCGCGCAGCAUUAGCUAGUUGGUGAGGUAACGCACUACCAAGGCUACGAUGCGUAGCUGGGCUGAGAGGAUGAUCAGCCACACUGGAACUGAGACACGGUCCAGACUCCUACGGGAGGCAGCAGUGGGGAAUCUUGCACAAUGGGCGCAAGCCUGAUCCAGCAACACCGCGUGGGUGAUGAAGGCCUUCGGGUCGUAAAGCUCUGUUGUUGGGAAAGAAAAACAGUAUGUUUAUCCCCCGCUGUUCUGACGGUACCCAAAGAAUAAGCACCGGCUAACUUCGUG